RNAcentral lists this ribosomal RNA (446 nucleotides) under uncultured bacterium. Its description in RNAcentral is "bacterial SSU rRNA". It matches the Rfam family "Bacterial small subunit ribosomal RNA", at positions 29 to 521 of the family's 1533-position model. The record is from RNAcentral.
AACGAACGCUGGCGGCAGGCCUAACACAUGCAAGUCGAACGCCCUAGCAAUAGGGAGUGGCAGACGGGUGAGUAACACGUGGGAACCUUCCCUGUAGUACGGAAUAGCCCAGGGAAACUUGGAGUAAUACCGUAUACGCCCGAAAGGGGAAAGAUUUAUCGCUAUAGGAUGGGCCCGCGUAGGAUUAGCUAGUUGGUGAGGUAAUGGCUCACCAAGGCGACGAUCCUUAGCUGGUUUGAGAGAACGACCAGCCACACUGGGACUGAGACACGGCCCAGACUCCUACGGGAGGCAGCAGUGGGGAAUAUUGGACAAUGGGCGCAAGCCUGAUCCAGCCAUGCCGCGUGAGUGAUGAAGGCCUUAGGGUUGUAAAGCUCUUUUGGCGGGACGAUAAUGACGGUACCCGCAGAAUAAGUCCCGGCUAACUUCGUGCCAGCCGCCGCUGU